Molecule: unclassified non-coding RNA, 520 nt
Filed under: uncultured Glomus
Lineage: Eukaryota; Fungi; Glomeromycota; Glomeromycetes; Glomerales; Glomeraceae
Description: SSU rRNA
Rfam family: Eukaryotic small subunit ribosomal RNA
Source: RNAcentral
AGCAGCCGCGGUAAUUCCAGCUCCAAUAGCGUAUAUUAAAGUUGUUGCAGUUAAAAAGCUCGUAGUUGAAUUUCGGGAUCAGUACGCCGGUCGUGCCUUCGGUAUGCACUGGUGUCACUGGUUUCUCCCUUCUGAAGAACCAUCAUGCCAUUAAGUUGGUGUGGCGGGAAAUCAGGACUGUUACUUUGAAAAAAUUAGAGUGUUUAAAGCAGGCUCGCGCUUGAAUACAUUAGCAUGGAAUAAUGAAAUAGGACGUUUGACCCUAUUUUGUUGGUUUCUAGGAUCGACGUAAUGAUUAAUAGGGAUAGUUGGGGGCAUUAGUAUUCAAUUGUCAGAGGUGAAAUUCUUGGAUUUAUUGAAGACUAACUACUGCGAAAGCAUUUGCCAAGGAUGUUUUCAUUAAUCAAGAACGAAAGUUAGGGGAUCGAAGACGAUCAGAUACCGUCGUAGUCUUAACCAUAAACUAUGCCGACUAGGGAUCGGAUGAUGUUAAUUUUUUAAUGACUCAUACGGCGCCUUA